AAAUAGGGGUGAGAUGGUUGCUUGAGUUUGCAACUUUUGUGAUGGAAUGAAAAAUGUUUUUCGAGAGUGGUUUGUUACUCUAGCCUGUGUUGGCUAGAUGUGACAAUAACUCUCGUGAAUUGUUAUUGUUAAGCUUGUGAACCAAGCUUUGUAAACUUUAAAUGAAAUUUGAAGUUUACUUGUGAAAUGAAAUUUCAUUUACCGCAUUUAACUUUUACGCUUUCCGCUUUUAAAUUCUUGUCGAUAUUUCCUGCUCUAUUUUUGAUAUCUCCAUUCCUGUCUUUCUAUUUUCACGGAGAUAUUUUUGGAGUUUUGCGAUUGAAUUGGAAUUUUAUUCUUUUUGGGGAUAGUUACAAUUUAGCUAUAUUCACCCCCCCUCUAUAGCCAAAUCCGAUCUCACAAUUGGUAUCAGAGCCCGGUUAUAGUUCGUUGUAACUUAACCGUGGCAACGAACUGUACUUAGGCUAUGGAGAAGUACUCAACGAAGCCGUUCGUUUUCGAUGGUGGCUCAGAUUUUAUGUUAUGGAAGGCUCGAAUAGAAUCUUACCUCCAGGGGUUAGGGUUGAAGGAAUGUCAAAGUGUUACCACUGCCUACCAAAUAUCCAAGGAUACCUCAAAUCUCACGGCAGACGUCGUUGCAAAAUGGGAGGCAAAUUAUCGAGCUUGAAAUGCACUUCUUGCUGGGUUAGGGUCUGGGGAGUUCAGCAGAUUGAACCACCUCAAGACUGCUAACGAAAUCUGGAAAAAUCUAUGCUCCUUCCGUGAAGGAAGCAAGGAGAUUAAAUUGGUUCGUCAAAACCAAUUCGAGAGGAAAUACCAGCGAUUUGAGAUGAACCCUGGAGAAUCUAUUGAUGAGUACUUUAAGAGAUUUGAGAAAAUUAUUUCAAACAUGAGGUCUGUCGGUCUUGAGCUUGAAGAAAAUGCAAAGGCUCGACACCUACUCAACAAUCUCGAUCUUGGACUUUGGGCUAUGAAAGUUACAUCCAUCACAAAAAGUGCACCUUUGAGUUUUCUCACCGUGGAAAUGCUUUACUCUAAGCUAAAAACCCACGAGAUGGAAAUUUUCCAUCGCAAAGGGCAAAAGCACUCGAUGGUACUUGUAGCUGAGCCCUCUUGUAGCGCUUGUGCUAAUGAAACUGCUUUGGUGUGUGGCGGCAUCUCCCUUUCUGCAUUACACUCCAUCUCCGAUGAAUAGUUGGAAAAAUUUUCUGAAGAUGAUUUGGCUCUUUUUGCUAAUAAAUUUACUAAGGCUUACAACAAUGUGAGAGAGAGGAAAGGAGUUAAAUCCACAAAAUCAUUUACAUGCUUUGAGUGUGGAGAACCAAAUCACAUUCGUGCUAAUUGUCCAAAACUGAAGAAGAAAGGCGAGAAUACGUCCAAACGGCCUGAGGGCCGAGCACGUGGGAGCCGGAAGGAAGGAUUGCGGAAGGUGAUCCACAAGGUACUUGCCGCGCUCGAGGAGGUGCAGCUCAGCGACGUCGACUCGGACUCCGACAAUGACCGUGACAAGUCUAAGAAGGACAAGGAGUUCGUUGGCAUGUGUUGCUACACCGACGACUACCUCAUCGACAUGUGUCUCAUGGCACUUGAGAACAUAGAUGACUCAACCGAACAUUCUAAGGUACGACCCUAUGAUGCCCUCUCCCUCGAUGAUUCUGAAAAUGAUAUGAAUGAAUUGCCUUGUGAUGAGAAUUAUUCGAGUGUUGACUUGGAUGAGGAUGGCAUUAGUAGAGAAAGAAUGGCUAGGUUGAUGACUACUCUCACUGAAAAAUACAAGCUAUGUGGUACUAAAAUUGUGAAACUAAAAUCUAAAAAAGAUGAUAUAUUAGUAGAAAUUGCUAGGCUUCGGUCCAUGAUACCUGAAGAUGAUGAGUGUUCUUCUUGCAAAACCUAUCUUGCUGAAAUUGCUCUUCUCAAGUCUAGAAAUGAUUCUUGUGCUUUAGGAGCUGGGAUAACUGCUAGUGUUAAAAAUGCUUGCUCAAAAUGCUAUGAAUUGAAACUCGAUAUUGGUUUGCUUGAAAUUAAGCUAAAAGAAGUGAAAAAAAAGCUUGAUCAUGAUAAGUCUAGGAAUUGUGAAAUUUGUCAAAAUCUUGCAUGAACUUAAAAAGAAAUUUGGUUUCCUUAAGAUUAGGAACAAUUUGCCAGAGCUCAUGACAACUAAAACUUCUAUUGAAACUUGUUGCUCAAAUUGUGCUAAUUUAGAAGCUGAGCUAAAAGACAUUAAGAGUGCUGUUGAGUCUCAUGCUUCUUGUGCUUCUUGCAUCUCUCUUAGACAAGAUCUUGGUUCUGUUAAGAAAGAAUGUGCUAAAAAGGAGGAGCAGCUAGCCAUUCUAGAGCAUGAUCUGGUAGCUGCUAAGAAAGAGUGUGUCAGGAAAGAUGAGUCCCUAGGUAUCCUAGAGAGAGAGAAAAUCUACUUGCAGCAAUCUUUAGAAAAAUUUGCCCAGGGAAAGAAAAAGCUCAAUAUGAUCCUAGACCAAUCCAAGGUGAGCAAGUUCAACCAAGGUAUAGGUUAUGAUUUUGCUGAGUCUUUGAGGAUAGGUGGACAUGAGAUUCUUGGCUUUCAGGAUGGUGUUAUAGAGUUAGCUAAAAAAUCUACUGUUUUUAAGUCAGCUGGCUUCUUAGAUAGCUCUAGCUCUAGUAUACCCAAGCCUACAGAAGCUGAGAAAGUGACUAAGUUUGUAGAAGCUGAAAAAGAACCUAAGCCUAUCUCUCUAGAAUCAGCAGAGUCUAAACCUAAGGAGCCAAAGCUAACAACUCAAGAAAAAUCCCAUACCUACCAAGGUACACAAGUCUGUAGAGAAAACCAAAUAUGAAUGCACCUUUUGCAAUAAGUCUGGUCAUUUGGUUGGGUUCUGCUUUAGAAAGGCCAAAAAAGAGCGACAAGAGUGUCUUAGGACUUUGAGAGCCCUGCGUAGUCAGCCUAGAGUCCCUAAGAGGUUUGAGUGCGCUUGUCAUUGUCAUUCAAGUGGUGUAUCUCGCUUUCCUCGGCGAGAUAUGCACCCUCGACAUGACUUGGCGGGGUUGGGGCAGAACAUGUGGGAUCAGCAUGUGCAUAAAAUUUUGGUGAACUCUAACAGUGUCUCUACCCCUCGAAUGAAUCAGUACUGGAUUCCUAAGUCUUUUCUCACUAACCCCAGUAUUGAUUCCUCGAGGUCUGAUUUUUCUUUGCAUUAGGUCCUUCAAGGUGGGAGAAGUAACUCUUGGCUUGUAGAUUCUGGAUGUUCUCGUCACAUGACAGGUGAUGCCAAAUGUUUUACUUCUCUCACUCGCGCAUCCGGUGAUGAGACGAUCACUUUUGGGGAUGCAAGCUGUGGANNNNNNNNNNNNNNNNNNNNNNNNNNNNNNNNNNNNNNNNNNNNNNNNNNNNNNNNNNNNNNNNNNNNNNNNNNNNNNNNNNNNNNNNNNNNNNNNNNNNNNNNNNNNNNNNNNNUUGAUCUAGAAGUCAGUUUCAAAAAGAAUGAUUCUAAAGUGCUGGAUUCUUGUGGGUCUCGUGUCUUUGAGAUUUCUCGAGUCGGCCGAGUUUAUUUUGCUGAUUUUGAUCACUCUUUUGGUCCUUCUCGAUGUCUCAUUGCAUCUAGCUCUUCUGAUCUAUUUUUCUGGCACCGACGACUUGGACACAUUGGUUUUGAUCACUUGUCUCGUUUGAGUGGCAUGGAUUUGAUUCGUGGUUUGCCAAAACUGAAAGCUUCUAAGGAUUUGGUAUGUGCUCCUUGUCGUCAUGGCAAAAUGACUGCUACUUCACAUCCACCAGUGACUUGGGUCAUGACAGAUGGACCCAGACAGCUGCUUCACAUGGAUACAGUUGGUCCUGCUCGGGUUCAGUCAGUGGGAGGGAAGUGGUAUGUUCUUGUCAUUGUGGAUGACUACUCUCGAUACUCUUGGGUCUUUCUCUUGGAAUUAAAGAGUGAAACUUUUGGCUUCUUUUGUGAUCUUACUCGUCGCUUGGCCAUUGAAUUUCCUGGAGCCCUAAGAGCAAUUCGCAGUGACAAUGGGUUGGAAUUCAAGAAUGAUUCUUUUGAAACCUUCUGUGAUUCUUCUGGUAUUGAGCAUCAAUUUUCGUCGCCAUAUGUUCCACAACAGAAUGGUGUGGUUGAGAGAAAGAACCGCACACUUGUGGAAAUGGCGCGUACCAUGCUCGAUGAGUACUCUACUCCAAGAAGGUUUUGGACCGAAGCAAUUUCGGCUGCUUGCUUCAUUUCAAAUCGGGUCUUCUUAAGAACUUCCUUGCACAAGACUCCAUAUGAACUGCGUUUUGGUCGUCGACCUAGUGUUUCUCACUUUCGAGUCUUUGGUUGCAAGUGUUUUGUUCUUAAGCCUGGUAAUUUGGACAAGUUUGACUCUCGUUCUUCUGAUGGUGUGUUUCUUGGCUAUGCUGAUCAUUCACGCGCUUAUAAAGUUCUCAUUCUUGAAACUAACAAAAUUGUGGAGACCUGUGAGGUUUCUUUUGAUGAGGCUAGCCCUGGUGCUGUAUUUCUGGGACUCCAGUUGUUUCAGAGACUUUGUUUAUAGAAGAGGAGUCCGAUGAGGAUGAUGAUGAUCUUCAUCGCUCACCUCCAGCUCGUGAGGUGGCACUUGAGCAAGAUGAUGGAGUUCCUACCACUACUUCACCUCUGGCAGACGCAACUGCAACAUCUUCAUCAUCAGUUGAUCAUACGGAGAUGAAUGGUGGCACUUCAGGACCAACGGCUCCCCGGCAUAUCUAGAAUCGACAUCCGCCUCACAUGAUGAUCGGAAGCCUGGAUGAGAGGGUAUCUAGAAAUUGAUCCUAUGAAAUUGCUAAUUCUGCUUUUGUUGCUUCUUUUGAGCCCAAAAAUGUCUGUCACGCUUUAACUGAUGAGAAUUGGGUCAAUGCCAUGCAUGAGGAGUUAGAAAAUUUUGAGAGAAACAAUGUUUGGUGUCUUGUUGAACCUCCCAUAGGGCACAAUGUCAUAGGCACAAAAUGGGUUUUCAAAAACAAACAAGGGGAAGAUGGAACCAUAGUUAGAAACAAAGCCAGACUGGUUGCACAAGGUUUUUCUCAAGUCGAAGGCUUGGACUUUGAGGAAACUUUCGCACCAGUUGCUAGGUUAGAAGCUAUCCGAAUUCUUUUGGCUUUUGCUUCUUCUAAAGGUUUCAAACUUUUUCAAAUGGAUGUCAAAAGUGCUUUCUUAAAUGGUGUUAUUGAAGAAGAAGUUUAUGUCAAACAGCCCCCUGGUUUUGAAAAUCCAAAAUUUCCUAACCAUGUUUUUAAACUUGACAAAGCUUUGUAUGGUUUGAAACAAGCACCACGUGCUUGGUACGAAAGGCUGAAAAAUUUCUUGCUUUCUAAGCACCACGUGCUUGGUAUGAAAGGCUGAAAGAUUUCUUGCUUUCAAAUGGCUUUGAAAUGGGAAAGGUUGACAAAACUCUUUUUACACUCAGAGAUGGCAUUGAUUUCCUUCUUGUUCAGAUAUAUGUUGAUGACAUCAUUUUUGGUGGUUCUUCUCAUCAUCUUGUGGCCAAGUUUUCAGAAACUAUGAGCAGAGAGUUUGAGAUGAGCAUGAUGGGUGAGCUGACCUACUUCCUUGGACUUCAAAUCAAUCAAACUGAGGAAGGCAUCUUUGUGCACCAAACCAAGUACUCUAAAGAUCUCCUGAAGAAGUUUGACAUGGCGGACUGCAAGCCGAUCGCCACUCCCAUGGCCACAACUGCUACUCUUGGACCAGAUGAGGAUGGGGAAGCAGUUGACCAGCGUGAGUACCGAAGCAUGAUCGGCUCCCUCCUCUACCUGACCGCGUCAAGACCAAACAUACACUUUGCUGUAUGCCUCUGUGCGCGAUUCCAGGAUUCUCCAAGGACUUCUCAUCAACAAGCCGUCAAGCACAUUCUUCGCUACAUCAAGUUGACACUCGAAUAUGGACUCUGGUACUCUUGUUCUUCUAUCUUGUCUAUUCGAGCGUUUUCUGAUUCUGACUUUGCUGGCUGCAAAAUCUAUCGAAAAAGCACUUCUGGUUCUUGCCAUUUCUUAGGGACUUCUUUGGUUUCCUGGUCGUCUCGUAAACAAUCAUCCGUUGCGCAAUCUAAUGCUGAGGCCGAAUAUGUGGCUGCUUCCAGUGCAUGCAGUCAAGCGCUUUGGAUGAUCUCAACUUUACGAGAUUAUGGGCUGUCUUUCUCGAGUGUUCCUCUGCUUUGUGAUAACACUAGUGCCAUUAACAUUGCAAAAAAUCCUGUUCAACAUUCGAGGAGCAAGCACAUUGAAAUUCGGUACCAUUUUCUCCGAGAUAAUGUCGAGAAAGGUACCAUUGUGCUAGAGUUUGUUGAAUCAGAAAUGCAACUUGCUGAUAUCUUGACCAAGCCGCUUGAUCGUUCUCGGUUUGAGUUCUUGAGGGCUGAGUUAGGGAUAAUUCAUCCCUAUGGCUUGAGUUGAGGGGGAGUUCUGUGCUUUGCUCUACAUUUGUACAUAGUGCAUCAUGUUUACAAAUAUCUGUUUUGCAUUCUAUCAUGUCUUCCUGCAUGUGAGCUUUGCAUGUUAUCUCUUUCACAUCACUUUGUUGUGCAUGGUUUACAUAUGUGCUAGUUUGAUUCCUUGUCUAGCUUUGAUGUGCUCUAGUAGCUUGUACGACCUUGCCAUGUUUAAUCAAGUGCGUUGAAACUUACCUAACUUGAAUUUUCACUUAAACAUAAAUCUUGUGCAAGUGCUUGUUCUAAGAGUUUGCUUAAAUUGAAGCUUCUUUCUCAUACUUAUGCCAUGCUUUACUCCUUCUUUGCAAUAGCUGUACAUGCUAUCGGAAAGCUUUGCUAUGGUCCAUGUUUUGAAUCUUUCAUGUUAUCUAUGUCAUCUUUUGCUCUUGUCCGGACUACUAAGUGUGUUUACGUGCGAGUAGUACCGAAGAUAGCAUAGAGACUGCCUAUAAUAGGAACUCCAGCUGGAUGUCCUGGUUGAUCAAAUCAGGAGGACCAUCGCGAUUGUGCUAUAAAAAAAUGUAUGUGUGCAAUUUAAAAAAAAGAAAAAAAUGAAUGAAAAAAAAUGCUUUCAAAUGAUGACGUGUGCUUUCUUAGCACAUCUUGUAUGAUUCUUCAUGGACUUUGACCUAGCACGUCAGGCAUGGGCAUUUUGUGGAGUUGGAGUCUUCAUUGCAUUCUUAUGAGGUCGAUUGCUUCUUCUUAAAUCUCUUUUAGAAUUUUCAUUGCACACUAAGCUACUUAUUUCAAUUGAAAGCUUUUAUUGUUGCUUGUGAUACAAUCUUGCUUCUAUAUGCCAUGAUUCAUACUUCUUUUGCGCAUACAUAGCUAGAUAUUGGCACUUUCUUGCUCUUGUGUGGACCAUGCACCUCGUUUGGAUGUUUUUAGAUAACUUCCCAAGCUUACACAUUUACUUUGUGCAUCUUGCAUCUCUAUGCAUAUGUUCUUUUUACCUUGAUGGCCUCAUUGUCAAAGGGGGAGAAAUAUAUGCUUUCUUUGAGAAAAUUUUUUUAAAAAAAGUGUUUUUCUCUGUAUUUGUCACUUGGUUUUUGAGUUUUGAUCUCUUUGACCAAGUUUGACUUUUGGCAAAUCUUUUGCUUUUAAAUUUUCAAAUUAUUAAAAUUCUUCUUUAGUGUUGCCAAUGUUUCCAUCAAGGGGGAGAUUGUGAAACCAAGAGUGAUUUGUAUUAAUUGUGAUGGAAAAUUGGCAAGUGUGGUUAAAGCGUGUGUGUUGAAUAACGAGGGUCAGGUCGUGAAAUCUGUGCUCGCAAAACGGUGGUUCGGAUUGUUUGUAUGCAGGUGUUUGGGGUCAACUUUGGUCAACGGUAGAUCGGGAUCAAACUCAGGGGAAGUUAUGGUCUAGCACGGUCGAGGACGUCGGGUUACAAGGUGAGACAUAGACGCGUACGCAAUGUACGAACAUCGUGCGGAACAAUCGGAUGUUCGCGAAGAAAAUCGAUGGGGGAGGAACACACAUACAUGCCUCCAUGCAUACGUACGUGCAAAGAAUGGAUGGCUAGCUAGUUGGUUGGUGCAAGGCAGCAUGGCUGGCUUGGAUUGCUCGGGCUUGGUCAACCUGCAUGCGUGCAUGUAUCGGUGAGCUAGCUUGCGGAUGGAUGGCAAGCAACAACGCCAUGGCUCAUACACUCGGGAGACGGGCCAGUGGUCGCUGACGGCUGGGCCCAGGCGAUGCAUGCACGCCAUGCAGAGGGAAUCACUGAGAACAACUAGUGCUUCGGUCUCGGGUGCGAUGCAGCAGCCGCUGACGGGUGGGCCCCGGUCGGAAUAUUCGGUGCACACGAGAAACCAGCCUACGGCCGACGCGUGGCAAGACCUUCGUCUUCACGCGCGCACGGAGGCAGCUGUAAGGUGGAUUUUCUGUGACAUCCGGAUCCCCUGUGGCAGAACAGAAAAGGGCUACGUGGCUUAUUCUGGAGCGCCGAUUUUAGAUCAAACGACUGUGAAGACUUAGAGUAGCCGCCAAGUUUGGGGGUAUUUUGGUCUUUUUCUAAUGGAGGAUCAGCCCUAUAAAUAGGGGUGAGAUGGUUGCUUGAAUUUGCAACUUUUAUGAUGGAAUGAAAAAUGUUUUUCGAGAGUGGUUUGUUACUUUAGCUUGUGUUGGCUAGAGGUGACAAUAACUCUCAUGAAUUAUUAUUGUUAAGCUUGUGAACCAAGCUUUGUAAACUUCAAAUGAAAUUUGAAGUUUACUUGUGAAAUGAAAUUUUAUUUACCGCAUUUAAAUUUUACGCUUUCCGCAUUUAAAUUCCUGUCGAUAUUUUCUGCUCUAUUUUUGAUCUCUCCAUUCCUGUCCUUCUAUUUUCAUGGAGAUAUUUUUGGAGUUUUGUGAUCGAAUUGGAAUUUUAUUCUUUUCGGGGAUAGUUACAAUUUAGCUAUAUUCAUCCCCCUCUAUAGCCAAAUCCGAUCUCACAGGUCUCAUGCCUGGAAAACUAAGUGUAUAAUAUACAACGGGUAAUCUGCAAUUCUCAUAUGGCUAUACUUGUUUUAAGACAAAUCAUCAGCUAACCUAGUCUUUUUGCCCGUUGGAUUGUCACUAGGCAAGUAUCCACUGACGAAGGAGAGGCCAAAGCGCAGGCGCAGGGCACCAUGUUUUUGGAAAACUAGUGCAAAAGUGAAUACAAAACAAUUUUGGUUAUAGUUACCGGUUAACCAAAACAACCGAAAUAACUAAACUAAUAUAAACAAUUGUACAUCAAAGCCCAAUAGUUUACAAAGUCUAUCAACCAUGCAAUUAUAAUGCUAUGUUUGAGAAUAUAUUUAUGAUUUGGUGAGUUUCGGUCGUUGAACUAAAAAAAACAUAAAAGAGGGGAGGUGUUGUCAUUUUUUUAAAAAAAAUCUGUAUUUUAACAAAACCAAAGCCAAAAUACUCAUUUCUGUCUUUUUCCAAACUAAUUUUGGUAUUGACUUCCUAAAAGUUGAAUUUCCGUUGUAACCGAAUCAAACUAACCGAAAGACUUUAUCGCACGCGUCGCCUCCACUGAAACCAGAUCGUUGGUUAUCCCUUCCCGUCAAGGCACACAUGUGAUCUCUUCGCUCUAAGACAUGAUAUUAUCUCAUCAUCGCGUGUUGUCCCACAUACACCUUACCUAGGUGCCAAUAAGCUCAUAGGAGACCCGAAAAUAAUGCCCUAUUACAUAUGUUAAUUGAUCAUGUUUAAUGAACAAGGCCAUUACAACUAAGAGUUGCUUUUUCAAAAAAAAAAACACAACUAUUUCAUUACAAUAUAAAAAAAUAUGUUGAACGUCGAAACCUGUUAAUAGCCAUCAAAACAGUGCACUUUUCACCUUGGUUGGAAC
This 9733-nucleotide long non-coding RNA is filed under the name Oryza brachyantha (malo sina). RNAcentral describes it as "long non-coding RNA (OBRA_LNC000820)". Lineage: Eukaryota; Viridiplantae; Streptophyta; Magnoliopsida; Poales; Poaceae. The record is from RNAcentral.